Transfer RNA from Prevotella sp. CAG:1058, 82 nucleotides. It matches the Rfam family "tRNA". From Rfam's summary of the family: Transfer RNA (tRNA) molecules are approximately 80 nucleotides in length. Their secondary structure includes four short double-helical elements and three loops (D, anti-codon, and T loops). NCBI's taxonomy places the organism in Bacteria, Pseudomonadati, Bacteroidota, Bacteroidia, Bacteroidales, Prevotellaceae. The record is from Rfam.
GCCCAGAUGGCGGAAUCGGUAGACGCGCUGGUCUCAAACACCAGUGGGGCAACCCGUGCCGGUUCGACCCCGGCUCUGGGUA